RNAcentral lists this ribosomal RNA (253 nucleotides) under uncultured bacterium. RNAcentral describes it as "partial 16S ribosomal RNA". It matches the Rfam family "Bacterial small subunit ribosomal RNA", at positions 524 to 776 of the family's 1533-position model. The record is from RNAcentral.
UACGGAGGUUGCAAGCGUUACUCGGAAUCACUGGGCUUAAAGCGUGCGUAGGCGGUUCGUUAAGUCCGAUGUGAAAGCCCUGGGCUCAACCUGGGAAUGGCAUGGGAUACUGGCGGGCUAGAGUGCGGUAGAGGGUGGCGGAAUUCCCGGUGUAGCAGUGAAAUGCGUAGAUAUCGGGAGGAACAUCUGUGGCGAAGGCGGCCACCUGGACCAGAACUGGCACUGAGGCACGAAAGCGUGGGGAGCAAACAGG